UACGUAGGGUGCGAGCGUUGUCCGGAAUUACUGGGCGUAAAGAGCUCGUAGGUGGUUUGUCGCGUUGUUCGUGAAAUUCCCUGGCUUAACUGGGGGCGUGCGGGCGAUACGGGCAGACUGGAGUACUGCAGGGGAGACUGGAAUUCCUGGUGUAGCGGUGAAAUGCGCAGAUAUCAGGAGGAACACCGGUGGCGAAGGCGGGUCUCUGGGCCGAUACUGACGCUGAGGAGCGAAAGCGUGGGGAGCGAACAGG
Molecule: ribosomal RNA, 253 nt
Filed under: uncultured bacterium
Lineage: Bacteria
Description: partial 16S ribosomal RNA
Rfam family: Bacterial small subunit ribosomal RNA
Source: RNAcentral